Long non-coding RNA from Phycodurus eques (leafy seadragon), 3700 nucleotides. RefSeq lists it as uncharacterized. The transcript is spliced from 3 exons. NCBI's taxonomy places the organism in Eukaryota, Metazoa, Chordata, Actinopteri, Syngnathiformes, Syngnathidae. The record is from RefSeq and is a predicted model, not a curated record.
GAUCAACCUACUUACCUGUCGUGAUAACGUCAAACAGCUCCUUUUCGCUAGGGGACAAGUCUUCUUUCUUGGCCGCACACAUUUUGACGGAUAAUGACGGCGUCCUGCUUGCUUAAAAGCCGCAAAGAUCUCAGCCGGAGUCUGACUCACUGGUGUCUGAGGACGAGGAUGACGAGGAGGAGGAGGACGAUGACGAGUCCGAGCUGGAACUGCUGCCGCUGAGGCGCGAGGGCUGCACGUGGGCCUCGGCGGGGUUGGCCUUCUCCGCUGGCAAAGUUUGGCAGGCUUCUUGGCCGAGUUGAGCUGUCCGCUGACGUCCUGGAGCCUCCUCUCCAGCUCCAGACGCUUCUCCAGGGUCAGCUCCUCUUUGGACUUGACCACACCGCCUUUCUUCACUGCUAACGAGAACACAAAAGCACAAGAACAACCGUCAUCAGGAUAAGGGAAGGUGAAAUGCAUCAUGUAAUGCAGUGGUGGUUCUCAAACAUUUUAUACUAAGGACCAUCUCGAAAAAUGUUUAGCUCUCUAAGGAUCACAAAAAUGGCCAUUUAAAUUUAGUCAAUUCAAAAAUACAGUACUUGAAGUAAAAAAAUUACUAUACAUUAAAAGUAAAACAAUGUACUGUACUGGAUUUUUUUUUUUAAAGUUGUUGAAUAGCUACAACUGAGGUGUCAAACUGGCGGCCCACCACAUCAUUUUAUGUGGCCGUCGAAAGCAAAUCAAAAUCACUAAUUGUGUUCUGGUGUAAUACCAUUGAGAUAUUUGCAAGCAUUUUUUUUUUUUUUUUUACCAAAUCCCCCUUUGAAAAUAAAUAGUUGAAAAACAUGUAUUUAUAGGCUUCUGAUUUCAAAACUGGUUACUCAUCAAUGUGUUGUGUAUACUGUAUUUACAGUAUAUGAGGUAAUCUUUCAUUUAUAUGGGUCCACAGUCAUAGCGGCCCUCCGAGGGAAGUUAUCACUGCGAUGUGGCCUGUGACAAAAAUGAGUUUGACACCCUUGAGCUACAAGAUUCAUUGUAAUAUGUUUGAUUGCAUUGACAUCCAUUCAUGUUCUGAACCACUUCUCUUCACUAGGCUCACGGGCGUGCUAACGCCUACCUCAGCUGACUUCGGGCGAGAGGUGGGGUACACACUGAACUGGUCACCAGCCAAUCGCAGGGCUCUUUGACUGCAUUUCAUUUUUACAAUGUUGUAAAUUGUAAUUGUAUUUAAUACAGUGAUUAUAUUAAAUUACCUAACAUUGAUGGCUGGGAUAGACUCUAGCAUGCCCGCGACCCUAGUGAGGAUAAGCGGAAUGGGAGCUGAAGAUGAUUUGGCGAUCGUAGUUAGCUAGCUCUGCUUUGCAGUAGUCACAUUGCACUAUUUUCUUUUCAGUGUGAAAUGAUCCCCAACUUUGGCCAUUCUGUCUUUACAUACUCAAACAUUAGUCCAUGUGGAAUAUGUUUACUUCAAAGCUUCAAGGCAGAUAUUUUGAUUCAACUUUUUAUUGUAAUUAAAUUAUUUGAGCUAUUCGAUUAAUCGUUUCAGCUUACAUGAUAUUGCUUGUUGAUUUUUGGCCCUUGUGUCUUUAUAAGCGGAUAUCUGGACUAGACAACUUUUGGAUUUUACCAACAGACUGGGAAGCAUGAACUGGAAAAGUCACAUGCUGUUUGUAAAGCCCAGCGCACAAAAAUGAAAUGUGUUGGGACCACCACCAAUUUAAAGAACCACAUCAGCCAUUUCCACCCUGACUCAGAAAAAGGGAAGAAAAUAACCCAGGCUGUGGGAGCCUUUAAAGAUUCCCCGACAUACAGGAAGUUGCUGUAUGUACCUUGGUCGGUGUAGGGCUUGCGCGGCUUCUUCCGCAGACACGUCAUGACAUAGCGCUCCAGCUCCUUCAGUGUGGACGGCUUGAGCGUCUCAAAGUCGAUUUCAAUCUCCUCGGGGUUGGUGUCGCGCAGCGAGGGCUCCCGCGACUGGAUGAUGUGCACCACGCGACCCAGCUUCUCGCCCGGAAGCUUGUUGAUGUCCAGGCUCAGCUGCCGCUUCUCGUCGUACGUCAUGGGCACAAUUUCCUCCUCCUCCUCAGAGUCGUAGUGCGGCAGCAUGGCAGCCGGCAACAGCGGGUAGAAAGGCUUCUUGGAGCUCCUGGUGGGAGGUUCAAACGGACAUUAAAUCAGUGACUUAAUGUCAGAAUGCUAAAUCCUAAUAAAUCUAGUGUAGGCAGAAUGGUGGUAGUGUUCCUCCCGCUAUAUCGCAGAUUUCGUAGUGUAAUAUUGUGCAAAAACAUGCCAGGCAGUGAUGAGGCUACUCGGGAGAGGUUCAGCGUAAUUAAUGACGCCCCUUCAGUGUAAUAGAGUACCACAUUUUGCCAGUGUAAUAUUCCAGAGAAUAAAGAAAAGAGCAGAGAAAAUAUAUGCCUCUGAGUAUUGUUCUGUGCUAUGUUUGUAUGUGUUGCUGCUCCAUGUGUGUUAAAACAGCAAUUGUUUAGGCCAUUAGGCCAUCUAUGGCAUUUGCAUUGUUACCAUUAAGCUAGUAGAAUUUGGUUAGAUGAAAUGAAAUGGUUUGGUUUAACAUUUUAAAGUUUAAACAUCCAAUGUUUACUUUUGUUUUUUUUUAUGUGUCGGUUUUACAGUAAAAAUGAACUGAGUGACAACUAAUCAGUAAAAGUAUGUAAACUUUGACUCUUAUUUGGAGAACUGUGCGAGCAUCUCUUCAUUUCCUCGAAGUGAUUAUAUUUUGGUACUUUUCACACAUUUACCAAACAGAAACGGGACCAAACAUGGCGUUUUUUGUGUCCGUGUGGUACUAACUUGCUGCUCUUGCUGCUCUUCUUAGUUUGGCUCUUCUUGAGCUGCGAUGCGCUGCCCUGUGACGCUUUGCUCUUGAGCAUUUUAGUGGGCAUGGUCCACUCCUCGGACCCCGCUCGGUUCUUGGCUGCGCGACUGCGCUUGUCUGGCUUCCUGUGCUUCUUCUUCUCCUUCUUGUCCUUCUUUUCACGCUUCUUCUUGGGCUUGACGAUGGGGCCCUGGGAGAGCGCAGUCAGCUGCUCAUGCACAGCUCGAAGCUGUGUGGUGAAAAAGUUAAUGAGUGAUGAAAAAUGUAUAUGAUUCCUGUACAUUCUCACAUCUGGGACUUGCUUGAUACUGACUAAUAACUGAUAAGACUGCUGAUUAUGUUUGGGGCGAUACAGUGAACCCCCAGUAUGUCGUUGCAAUCUUUCAGCUUUUUAAAGUAUACAGGCAAGUUCAAAUUUAGAGUUGCACUGAAACAUGCCGGGCAGCACUGAGGUCUACUGGCAGACAUGCAGCGAAGAGGAGGCAGAGAAGGCUCCCAACUAAUCUCCAAUAAUAGUCUUUCCUGCAGAGCAGAGAGAAUAUAUGGAGACUUCAAAGGCAAAAGCAGACAUCUCCAUUUGUUGGUGAAUAGUAUCCAUAUGCCCAAUACAGGUUGUUUGUGAAAUAGAAAAAAAGAUGAAAAAAGGCUUUUAAGUCUAAAUUCUACAUAUGCCUGUGAGUAUUGUUAUGCUGUUUCUAUGUGUUGCUGCCCCGUGUGUGUUAAAGAAGCAGCCGUUUGAAAGUUUGUGUAAUUACUGUAACAUCUAUGCUAAUUUCUGUUAGGUCUAUGGAGUUUUGCAUUAUAUGUUAGCAUUAAGCUGGCAGACUUUCAUUAGAUGGUUUGGUUAAAUAUUUUUGUGUUUAAAUAUACAGUGUUUCUAUUUCU